RNAcentral lists this ribosomal RNA (415 nucleotides) under Eukaryota sp. RNAcentral describes it as "SSU rRNA". It matches the Rfam family "Eukaryotic small subunit ribosomal RNA", at positions 1325 to 1699 of the family's 1831-position model. The record is from RNAcentral.
CCGUUAACGAACGAGACCUUAACCUGCUAAAUAGCCCGUUCUGCCUUGGCAGUCCGCUGGCUUCUUAGAGGGACUAUCGGCUCAAGCCGAUGGAAGUUUGAGGCAAUAACAGGUCUGUGAUGCCCUUAGAUGUUCUGGGCCGCACGGUAAGCUUUAACCCCUAAACCAACCCCCUAACCUAUUUUAUGACACAUGCUAACGUUCUUUGCAGCGCGCUACACUGACAGAGCCAGCGAGUAAUUCCUUGGCCGGAAGGCACGGGUAAUCUUGUGAAACUCUGUCGUGCUGGGGAUAGAGCAUUGCAAUUAUUGCUCUUCAACGAGGAAUCCCUAGUAAGCGCAAGUCAUCAGCUUGCGUUGAUUACGUCCCUGCCCUUUGUACACACCGCCCGUCGCUAGUACCGAUUGAAUGGAUA